This 253-nucleotide ribosomal RNA is filed under the name uncultured bacterium. RNAcentral describes it as "partial 16S ribosomal RNA". It matches the Rfam family "Bacterial small subunit ribosomal RNA", at positions 524 to 776 of the family's 1533-position model. The record is from RNAcentral.
UACGAAGGGGGCUAGCGUUGUUCGGAUUUACUGGGCGUAAAGCGCACGUAGGCGGGUCGUUAAGUCAGGGGUGAAAUCCCGGAGCUCAACUCCGGAACUGCCUUUGAUACUGAGGAUCUUGAGUUCGGGAGAGGUGAGUGGAACUGCGAGUGUAGAGGUGAAAUUCGUAGAUAUUCGCAAGAACACCAGUGGCGAAGGCGGCUCACUGGCCCGAUACUGACGCUGAGGCACGAAAGCGUGGGGAGCAAACAGG